Molecule: long non-coding RNA, 714 nt
Filed under: Astyanax mexicanus (Mexican tetra)
Lineage: Eukaryota; Metazoa; Chordata; Actinopteri; Characiformes; Acestrorhamphidae
Description: lncRNA (ENSAMXG00005024706.1)
Source: RNAcentral
ACUACUAAUACUGCUGCUACUACUACCAGUACUAUUACUAUUAUUUGAUAUUUUGUGUUGUUAGGGCAUUCUUUAAGCACUAAGCAUGGCUUGGUUACACAACUACAGAUCAGAUAAGAUUUUUACAAGAUAAAUAAUUUUGUUGCUUCUUCCUCUCAACCUGCAAGAAGAAAACUCAGCACAACUGUUCACUUCUCACACCAGAGCUAAACCUCUCUCAUCUCAGCACAGCUGCAGAUCCACCGCUCUACACUGUGAGAAUGAACCCCAAAACAUUUCUGUGUUUAACAGCACUCCUGUUCCUGUCUGUUCAUCUCUGUUGUGGAGGAGAUAAAGCCCCCAAGAAGGUAAGAUUUAAAGUGUAACUUACUGUAUAAAAUAUAUCAGAAAUGUUAAAAGUGAAUAAAGAAAAAAUAACCAUACGUGAUGACUUUUGUUGUUUUCUUAAGCAAACUGCUCAGCCAUCGGGUAAAGCUGUGUGGGAACCUGGACGCACAGUUCUAAUGGCCAGUCCUCUUAUACGUUCAGUGAGUUAAUUUUCUUUUUUUUUAAUUUAUAAAUUUGGCUAAAUAUUGAGAUGUUAAAAAAUAUUGAUAUAUUUUCAUAUGAGAUAUAAGAUGAGACAAUAUUGUUUAUAUCGAUAUAGACUAUACUGCAUUACAGUGAGCUCUGUCAGUUUUCCCCGUGUCUCUGGAUGGCAUCAUGGUAUAGAAG